Molecule: ribosomal RNA, 561 nt
Filed under: uncultured bacterium
Lineage: Bacteria
Description: bacterial SSU rRNA
Rfam family: Bacterial small subunit ribosomal RNA
Source: RNAcentral
CCUACGGGAGGCAGCAGUAAGGAAUAUUGCGCAAUGGACGAAAGUCUGACGCAGCAACGCCGCGUGCGGGAUGAAGGGCUUCGGCUCGUAAACCGCUUUUAUCAGGGAAGAGUAAGGACGGUACCUGAUGAAUAAGUCUCGGCUAACUACGUGCCAGCAGCCGCGGUAAAACGUAGGAGGCGAGCGUUAUCCGGAUUUACUGGGCGUAAAGCGCGUGCAGGCGGUGAUGCAAGUCGUGUGUGAAAGCUCCCAGGCUUAACCGGGAGAGGCCAUGCGAGACUGCAUUGCUGGAGGCAAGGAGAGGCAAGUGGAAUUCCGGGUGUAGUGGUGAAAUGCGUAGAGAUCCGGAGGAACUCCAGUGGCGAAGGCGGCUUGCUGGCCUUGACCUGACGCUCAGACGCGACAGCAUGGGGAGCGAACGGGAUUAGAACCCCGGUAGUCCAUGCCGUAAACGAUGCUCACUAGGCGUUAGCCCCAACCGGGGGUAGUGCCGAAGCCAACGCGAUAAGUGAGCCGCCUGGGGAGUACGGCCGCAAGGUUAAAACUCAAAGGAAUUGACGG